UACUUAUCGCGUUAGCUGCGCCACUAAAGCCUCAAAGGCCCCAACGGCUAGUAGACAUCGUUUACGGCAUGGACUACCAGGGUAUCUAAUCCUGUUUGCUCCCCAUGCUUUCGUACCUCAGCGUCAGUAUUAGGCCAGAUGGCUGCCUUCGCCAUCGGUAUUCCUCCAGAUCUCUACGCAUUUCACCGCUACACCUGGAAUUCUACCAUCCUCUCCCAUACUCUAGCUCUCCAGUAUCGAAUGCAAUUCCUAAGUUAAGCUCAGGGAUUUCACAUCCGACUUAAAAAGCCGCCUACGCACGCUUUACGCCCAGUAAAUCCGAUUAACGCUCGCACCCUCUGUAUUACCGCGGCUGCUGGCACAGAGUUAGCCGGUGCUUAUUCUGCGAGUAACGUCCACUCACUUUAGGUAUUAACUAAAGGAGCCUCCUCCUCGCUUAAAGUGCUUUACAACCAAAAGGCCUUCUUCACACACGCGGCAUGGCUGGAUCAGGCUUGCGCCCAUUGUCCAAUAUUCCCCACUGCUGCCUCCCGUAGGAGUCUGGGCCGUGUCUCAGUCCCAGUGUGGCGGAUCAUCCUCUCAGACCCGCUACAGAUCGUCGCCUUGGUAGGCCUUUACCCCACCAACUAGCUAAUCCGACUUAGGCUCAUCUAUUAGCGCAAGGUCCGAAGAUCCCCUGCUUUCCCCCGUAGGACGUAUGCGGUAUUAGCAUUCCUUUCGGAAUGUUGUCCCCCACUAAUAGGCAGAUUCCUAAGCAUUACUCACCCGUCCGCCGCUAGGUCAGGUAGCAAGCUACCUUUCCCCGCUCGACUUG
RNAcentral lists this ribosomal RNA (814 nucleotides) under uncultured Acinetobacter sp. Its description in RNAcentral is "partial 16S ribosomal RNA". Lineage: Bacteria; Pseudomonadati; Pseudomonadota; Gammaproteobacteria; Moraxellales; Moraxellaceae. The record is from RNAcentral.